RNAcentral lists this ribosomal RNA (442 nucleotides) under uncultured bacterium. RNAcentral's name for it is "partial 16S ribosomal RNA". It matches the Rfam family "Bacterial small subunit ribosomal RNA", at positions 338 to 795 of the family's 1533-position model. The record is from RNAcentral.
CCUACGGGAGGCAGCAGUAGGGAAUCUUUCACAAUGGGCGAAAGCCUGAUGGAGCAACGCCGCGUGCAGGAUGAAGGCCUUCGGGUUGUAAACUGCUUUUAUAAGCGAGAAAUAUGAUGGUAACUUAUGAAUAAGGAUCGGCUAACUACGUGCCAGCAGCCGCGGUCAUACGUAGGAUCCGAGCAUUAUCCGGAGUGACUGGGUGUAAAGAGUUGCGUAGGUGGCAUAAUAAGUAGCUAGUGAAAACUGGUGGCUCAACCAUUCAGACUAUUAGCUAAACUGUUAAGCUCGAGACCGUUAGGGGUAAGUGGAAUGUCGGGUGUAGGAGUGAAAUCCGUAGAUAUUAGGAGGAACACCAAUAGCGUAGGCAGGUUGCUGGGACGGUACUGACACUAAGGCACGAAAGCGUAGGGAGCAAACAGGAUUAGAUACCCCUGUAGUC